Molecule: long non-coding RNA, 429 nt
Organism: Bombus pascuorum
Lineage: Eukaryota; Metazoa; Arthropoda; Insecta; Hymenoptera; Apidae
Exons: 3
Source: RefSeq, a predicted model, not a curated record
GGCGAAACUAAGGUACAAGGAGUCAUUUAGUCGUCUCAUUUCGUACCGAAAACAUGGAUCGUGUUGCGUCAGACAUAUCAUUGCUUGGACUUCUUUGUCUUCUUUGGGAAUGCUCCAACGGUAGCUCAAAAGACAAGAAUAUUUUUCACAACCUCCAUUUCCACCAUUGGAUUUUCAACGGUUCCUGCCUGAUGUUAGUCUUUCUAAUGAUAUUUGCUGAGAUAGUGCAAUAUCGAUGGCAACGUUUUCCGUUUGUCCGCUUCUAAUGGUGAGUCGCAUGCAUUUUUGUCCCUCCGGUCACUCAAUAAUGUCGUAGGAUGAAAGGUCCGAAUCGGCACGGCUGACUGGUUGUAUUAUGUAGAAUUUUUUGCGAGCGUAGUGAUCACGGGUAUUUUUUAUACCCGAGAGUAGUAACAUUUUUUUCACAUC